RNAcentral lists this long non-coding RNA (1651 nucleotides) under Triticum aestivum (bread wheat). RNAcentral's name for it is "long non-coding RNA (TAES_LNC011828)". The record is from RNAcentral. Lineage: Eukaryota; Viridiplantae; Streptophyta; Magnoliopsida; Poales; Poaceae.
UCGCAAGUGAGGUAAUCUUCACACAACCCAUGUAAUACAUAUGGGAAAAAGAUACAUAGUUGGCUUACAAUCGCCACUUCACACAAUUACAUGAAUAAAGCAUUACAUCAACCAGAUACAAUCAAGGUCCGACUACGGAUCCAAAAUAAAAGAAGAACCCCAAAUGCGACAAAGGUCCUCGAUCGACCCCAACUGGGCUCCACUACUGAUCAACUAGAACAGAAACAACACAAAGGACAAGAUCUUCAUCGAGCUCCUCCUGAGCUUGGUUGCGUCAUCUGCACGGACUCAACGGCACCUGCAAGCUGGUUUUUGGAAGUAUCUGUGAGCCACGGGGACUCAGCAAUCUCGCACCCGCGAGAUCAAGACUAUUUAAGCUUAUGGGUAAGAUAAAGGUAUGAGGUGGAGCUGCAGCAAGCGACUAGCAUAUAUGGUGGCUAACAUACGCAAAUGAGAGCGAGAAGAGAAGGCAAAGCACGGUCGAUAAAAGUAUGAUCAAGAAGUGAUCCUAUAGCAACCUACGUCAAGCAUAACUCCAACACCGUGUUCACUUCCCGGACUCCGCCGGAAAGAGACCAUCACGGUUACACACACGGUUGAUGUAUUUUAAUUAAGGUCAACUUCGGGUUUUCUACAACCGGACGUUAACAAAUUCCCAUCUGCCCAUAACCGCGGGCACGGCUUUCGAAAGUUCAAAUCCCUGCAGGGGUGUCCCAACUUAGCCCAUCACAAGCUCUCACGGUCAACGAAGGAAUAGACCUCCACCCGAGACAUUCCGAUCAGACUCGGUAUCCCGGUACAACAAGACAUUUCGACAGGGUAAAACUAAACCAGCAACACCGCCCGAAUGUGCCGACAAAUCCCGAUAGGAGCUGCACAUAUCUCUUUCUCAGGGCACACUCAGAUUGUCUUAGGUACGGGUAGGCCAACCCAGAGUUGCCCCUGGUGGUCACCGGUAGCUGACAGUUGGACCAACACUCAGAAGAGCACUGGCCCGGGGGGUUAAAAUAAUGAUGACCCUUGAGUCCGCGAAACCCAAGGGAAAAAGAGGCUAGGUGGCGAAUGGUAAAACCAAUGUUGGGCAUUGCUGGAAGAGCUUUACUUAAGGCGAACUGUCAAGGGGUUCCCAUUAUAGCCCAACCGCGUAAGGGACGCAAAAUCCGGGAACAUAACACCGAUAUGACGGAAACUAGGGUGGCAAGAGUGGAACAAAACACCAGGCAUAAGGCCGAGCCUUCCACCCUUUACCAAGUAUAUAGAUGCAUUAAUUAAGUAAGAUAUAUUGUGAUAUCCCAACAAGCAAAUAAAUGUUCCAACAAGGAACGGCAUCUCCAUGUUCCAACCAGGAACAAACUUCAAUCUUCACCUGCAACUACCAACGCUAUAAGAGGGGCUGACCAAAGCGGUAACAUAGCCAAACAACGGUUUGCUAGGACAUUGGUGGGUUAGAGGCUGAACAUGGCAAUUUGGGUGGCUGACAAGCAAGUGGUAGGCAUCGUAGCAUUGGCAUGGCAAAAGAGCGAGCAAACUAGCAUAGCAAGGAUAGUAGUGAUUUCGAGGGUAUGAUCAUCUUGCCUGAGAUCCCGCAAGGAAGAAGAACGAAUCCAUGAAGAAGACAAACGGACGUAGUCGAACGGGUCCUCACAAAAGC